UACGUAGGGUGCGAGCGUUAAUCGGAUUUACUGGGCGUAAAGCGUGCGCAGGCGGCCCGUUAAGACAGGUGUGAAAUCCCUGGGCUCAACCUAGGAAUUGCGCUUGUGACUGGCGGACUAGAGGACGGUAGAGGGGGGUGGAAUUCCUGGUGUAGCAGUGAAAUGCGUAGAGAUCAGGAGGAACACCGAUGGCGAAGGCAGCCCCCUGGGCCUGUACUGACGCUCAUGCACGAAAGCGUGGGGAGCAAACAGG
Molecule: ribosomal RNA, 253 nt
Filed under: uncultured microorganism
Description: partial 16S ribosomal RNA
Rfam family: Bacterial small subunit ribosomal RNA
Source: RNAcentral